This 383-nucleotide ribosomal RNA is filed under the name uncultured bacterium. RNAcentral's name for it is "bacterial SSU rRNA". It matches the Rfam family "Bacterial small subunit ribosomal RNA", at positions 30 to 416 of the family's 1533-position model. The record is from RNAcentral.
AUUGAACGCUGGCGGCAUGCUUUACACAUGCAAGUCGAACGCGAAAGGGGGCAACCCUGAGUAGAGUGGCGCACGGGUGAGUAAUACAUCGGAACGUGUCCUGUAAUGGGGGAUAACGCAGCGAAAGCUGUGCUAAUACCGCAUACGUCCUACGGGAGAAAGCGGGGGAUCGCAAGACCUCGCGUUAUAGGAGCGGCCGAUGCCGGAUUAGCUAGUUGGUGGGGUAAAGGCCUACCAAGGCAACGAUCCGUAGCUGGUCUGAGAGGAUGAUCAGCCACACUGGGACUGAGACACGGCCCAGACUCCUACGGGAGGCAGCAGUGGGGAAUUUUGGACAAUGGGCGCAAGCCUGAUCCAGCCAUGCCGCGUGAGUGAAGAAGGCC